GACCUCGCGAGAGCAAGCGGACCUCAUAAAGUAUGUCGUAGUCCGGAUUGGAGUCUGCAACUCGACUCCAUGAAGUCGGAAUCGCUAGUAAUCGUAGAUCAGAAUGCUACGGUGAAUACGUUCCCGGGCCUUGUACACACCGCCCGUCACACCAUGGGAGUGGGUUGCAAAAGAAGUAGGUAGCUUAACCUUCGGGAGGGCGCUUACCACUUUGUGAUUCAUGACUGGGGUGAAGUCGUAACAAGGUAACCGUAGGGGAACCUGCGGUUGGAUCACCUCCUUACCUUAAAGAA
This 293-nucleotide ribosomal RNA is filed under the name Klebsiella pneumoniae. RNAcentral's name for it is "partial 16S ribosomal RNA". It matches the Rfam family "Bacterial small subunit ribosomal RNA", at positions 1251 to 1533 of the family's 1533-position model. The record is from RNAcentral. Lineage: Bacteria; Pseudomonadati; Pseudomonadota; Gammaproteobacteria; Enterobacterales; Enterobacteriaceae. RNAcentral also lists the same sequence under 1 other name.